GAUGAACGCUGGCGGCGUGCCUAAUACAUGCAAGUCGAGCGAACGGACGAGAAGCUUGCUUCUCUGAUGUUAGCGGCGGACGGGUGAGUAACACGUGGAUAACCUACCUAUAAGACUGGGAUAACUUCGGGAAACCGGAGCUAAUACCGGAUAAUAUUUUGAACCGCAUGGUUCAAAAGUGAAAGACGGUCUUGCUGUCACUUAUAGAUGGAUUCGCGCUGCAUUAGCUAGUUGGUAAGGUAACGGCUUACCAAGGCAACGAUGCAUAGCCGACCUGAGAGGGUGAUCGGCCACACUGGAACUGAGACACGGUCCAGACUCCUACGGGAGGCAGCAGUAGGGAAUAUUGCACAAUGGGCGAAAGCCUGACGGAGCAACGCCGCGUGAGUGAUGAAGGUCUUCGGAUCGUAAAACUCUGUUAUUAGGGAAGAACAGAUGUGUAAGUAACUGUGCACAUCUUGACGGUACCUAAUCAGAAAGCCACGGCUAACUACGUG
RNAcentral lists this ribosomal RNA (497 nucleotides) under uncultured bacterium. RNAcentral describes it as "partial 16S ribosomal RNA". It matches the Rfam family "Bacterial small subunit ribosomal RNA", at positions 28 to 507 of the family's 1533-position model. The record is from RNAcentral.